RNAcentral lists this ribosomal RNA (440 nucleotides) under uncultured bacterium. Its description in RNAcentral is "partial 16S ribosomal RNA". It matches the Rfam family "Bacterial small subunit ribosomal RNA", at positions 338 to 795 of the family's 1533-position model. The record is from RNAcentral.
CCUACGGGAGACAGCAGUGGGGAAUAUUGCACAAUGAGGGAAACCCUGAUGCAGCGACGCCGCGUGAGUGAAGAAGUAAUUCGUUAUGUAAAGCUCUAUCAGCAGGGAAGAAAAUGACGGUACCUGAGUAAGAAGCCCCGGCUAAAUACGUGUCAGCAGCCGCUGUAAUACGUAGGGGGGAAGCGUUAUCCGGAUUUACUGGGUGUAAAGGGAGCGUAGACGGCAGUGCAAGUCUGGAAUGAAAGGCCGGGGCUCAACCCCCGGACUGCUCUGGAAACUAUACGGCUGGAGUGCAGGAGAGGUAAGUGGAAUUCCAAGUGUAGCGGUGAAAUGCGUAGAUAUUAGGAGGAACACCAGAGGCGAAGGCAGCUUACUGGACUGUAACUGACGUUGAGGCUCGAAAGCGUGGGGAGCAAACAGGAUUAGAUACCCCUGUAGUC